Malus domestica (apple) is the source of this 427-nucleotide non-coding RNA. The record is from RefSeq and is a predicted model, not a curated record. Lineage: Eukaryota; Viridiplantae; Streptophyta; Magnoliopsida; Rosales; Rosaceae.
UCAUCUAUCCAUUUAUUCAGUUUCCCUUUCCCUCAAUCUCUCUUCCUGGCUCCUCUCCUCUCACUAAGACGUCGAUAUCUCUCAUCCUGACUCGCUCCCACCGUCCUACUUCCUUCCGCUACCAUCAUCAUCAGCUCCGUCCAUCGCCAUCAUCAUCAGCUCCGUCUGUCGCCAUCAUCAUCAAAUCUCGAUCCAUGGGCUUGGUUGGGAUUUGUCUUCAGCAAUUGCAAGGGGCUUGGUUCAUGGUCGGCGGAAAGGCUUUGGCGGCGACAGAGGAUUUAGUCGAUUAGGUUUCUGUGUGUGUGUGUGUUUUGGUUUUGGGCUCAACUCUUGGGUUGGGCUCUUCUUUUGUUGGUGUUUUGGAGGUUCUUAGUUGUUUUGUGGCUGUUGUAAAUUUGGGCCUCCAGUUGUGCUUGUAAGUUUUGUG